RNAcentral lists this ribosomal RNA (433 nucleotides) under uncultured bacterium. RNAcentral's name for it is "partial 16S ribosomal RNA". It matches the Rfam family "Bacterial small subunit ribosomal RNA", at positions 29 to 507 of the family's 1533-position model. The record is from RNAcentral.
AACGAACCCUGGCGGCAUGCCUAACACAUGCAAGUCGAACGAGACCUUCGGGUCUAGUGGCGCACGGGUGCGUAACGCGUGGGAACCUGCCCUUAGGUUCGGAAUAACUCCCCGAAAGGGGUGCUAAUACCGGAUAAUGUCUUCGGACCAAAGAUUUAUCGCCUUUGGAUGGGCCCGCGUUGGAUUAGCUAGUUGGUAGGGUAAAAGCCUACCAAGGCGACGAUCCAUAGCUGGUCUGAGAGGAUGAUCAGCCACACUGGGACUGAGACACGGCCCAGACUCCUACGGGAGGCAGCAGUGGGGAAUAUUGGACAAUGGGCGAAAGCCUGAUCCAGCAAUGCCGCGUGAGUGAUGAAGGCCUUAGGGUUGUAAAGCUCUUUUACCCGGGAUGAUAAUGACAGUACCGGGAGAAUAAGCUCCGGCUAACUCCGUG